Molecule: long non-coding RNA, 903 nt
Filed under: Brachypodium distachyon (stiff brome)
Lineage: Eukaryota; Viridiplantae; Streptophyta; Magnoliopsida; Poales; Poaceae
Description: long non-coding RNA (BDIS_LNC002043)
Source: RNAcentral
ACUGCAAGUAAUUAAAUCUCUUUGCCGCACCCAAUUUUUUAUGUUUGCCGCCCUCAUUUUUCUUUUCUUUUUUGAAAAGUUUGCCGCUAAUACGAACUCACCGCAUUUUUUUAAGGAAGAAAAUACCCUCGUAUAUAUCCUAGGCCCUGUCCCGAGCCUCAAUCUUUUCCUCUCCCAUCCCCUCCUCCCCCUUCUCUCCUCCAGCUGUCUCUCCCUUCCCUCCCCUCGCCAACCACAACCACGCCUUGCUGCUCUGACGACCGUCGGAUCCCUCCCCUAGCCAACCACCGCCGCCAACCGACCGGCCCCGCUGCUACACCGGACCUCCUCCUCCCUGCCUCUCGCCGCAGAUGCCUCCCCUGCCGGAUCCGGGCGCGCACAGCCCCGUCUCCCCCGGAUCUGGGCGCCCUCGGCCUCGUCUCCACCGGAUCCGGCCGCCCUCAGGCAUGUCUCGACCGGAUCCUGGCUACUUCGGCCCUGCUGCGUGCCGCCGGAACUCGGUACAUUUUUUUCGCUCCUCUCUUGGUUUUCUCUCUUUCAUUCUCUCUCUUACUCUUUCUCUCUCUCUCUCUGGUGGCUGACCUGCUCCCCGGGAGGAUGGUAGCGGGCGUCCGGCGGCGGCCAAGUACAACUACGCCACUCUAGCCAUCCCCGGCUUCUCCCCCGCCGGAUCCGACGUGUUUAAGCUUUGAUCGAUGUGCAUGCUCUGUAAUUUAUUUGUUUUCUAGGUUAAUCAAUGUGUAUGCUUUCUAUUCUCUGUAAGACUCGACAUUUGCUUGUUAAUAAAGCUCGAGAUUUGCUUGUUAACAAGUACUCCGUAUGAAUUUAUUUAUGUGUAUUCUCCACCAUCGUCGACAUUGAAGUGCAAGCCCGUGUGGCCUACUUAUUUUUUUUAAUUCCUCA